Non-coding RNA from Claviceps monticola, 86 nucleotides. Lineage: Eukaryota; Fungi; Ascomycota; Sordariomycetes; Hypocreales; Clavicipitaceae. The record is from the annotation of a GenBank genome assembly.
GACCCGUUAGUCUAGGGGUCAGGACGCUGGAUUUUGACGACUUUGUACGUCUUCCGGAAACAUCAGUUCGAAUCUGGUACGGGUCU